GUCCACAACAAUAUUGGUUGGGC
Molecule: non-coding RNA, 23 nt
Filed under: Arabidopsis thaliana (thale cress)
Lineage: Eukaryota; Viridiplantae; Streptophyta; Magnoliopsida; Brassicales; Brassicaceae
Source: RNAcentral